UAGACUAUACGUUCAAGGAUCACUUCUAUAGUUUGUGACAUGAGAAAUGCGUUUCGAAAGCGUUUGGUCUAUUCAGCCACGAGGAGAAUCCAUAGUGUCUCCUCCUGAGCACGAAGCAGGUCAGGGGUGUUGCUUCACGGCAGCUGCUCCCAACCACUGAUGACUGCUCCUCUCUCUCGCAGGCUGAGCAGGAGGGAGACGCAUUCUGAGAGGG
This is a small nucleolar RNA of Lepisosteus oculatus (spotted gar), 214 nucleotides long. Its record names the gene U3. It matches the Rfam family "Small nucleolar RNA U3". From Rfam's summary of the family: Small nucleolar RNAs (snoRNAs) are involved in the processing and modification of rRNA in the nucleolus. The record is from Ensembl. NCBI's taxonomy places the organism in Eukaryota, Metazoa, Chordata, Actinopteri, Semionotiformes, Lepisosteidae.